UGCCCGGCUAAUUUUUUUAAUUUUUGGUAGAGACAGGGUUUCACUGUGUUGGCCAGGCUGGGCUCGCACUCCUCACCUCAGGUGAUCCGCGCGCCUCGACCUCCCAAAGUGUUGGGAUUACAGGCAUGAGCCACUGUUUUAACUGCUUCUUUUUCAGGCCCCAACUCACAACCACCCCGACCCCUCACCAAAGCAGAAUUGAAAGGGCCACUGAUCCCUUACACCGAGGGGAAACUGAGGUCCACAGGGAGGAACGAAAUUAGAGAAAUACCUGGAUUUAGAGCAAGUUGAGAUGGGGCCACUUCAAACAUUUCAUGCUCCUGUCCUAAACCCACCCUCAUCCCCGAGAAAAGAGACGCCAACCACCGGGCUGAGAAGAAAGUGCGGUCGACCACCCCAGGGCCAAUUUGGGCCUCUUCAUGUAGAUGCCCAUAAGCAGAAGCAGCCCAGCCUCCUCCUGCAGAGAGCCUUACCCGGCCUCAGGAAUUGCCCACAGCAUAAAACCCAGGCCACCCAACCAGUGCACUUAUAUACCCUGAGGGCUGCCCGCCCAACGCAGCCCGUCCACCAAUCAGGGCCUCCCUGGGGGCGUGGUUUGGCCUAAACCGCCCGCCUCUCUGCCUGUGAACCCAGUCAGCACCCAGCUGCGGCUCCCCAGGGUGAAAGCCUCUCCGAAGUUUCAUCAGCUACAAGAGGGGUGAAGGCAGGCCAGCUGGACCCCAGGGCCUGAGAUACCAUAGGAAGGGCAGGGAGCUAGGAUCCGCGUUACCCUCUUGACAAAUGCAGCGCCAAGGGGCUGAGCCGAGAAAUGAGGCCUGGGCUACCAGGGCCAGGGUCUUGCCGUCUCGCUCAGGCUGGAAUGCUGUGGAGUGAUCUCGGCUCACUGCAAGCUCCACCUCCUAGGCUCAAGAGAUUCUCCCAUCUCAGCCUCCCGAGUAGCUGGGACCACAGGCAUGUGCCACCAAGCACAGCUAAUGGGAUAAACCUCUUAUAAAAGAGGCUUUUGGGACCCCAGCUUGUGUGCAAAAAUAAUAAUAAAUAAUAAUAAUAAAAAGAGGCAUCAUCCACUGUUCUGCUCUUUUUUGCCCUUCUGUUCUUCUGCCAUGUGAGGACACAGGGUUUGUCUCCUUUGGAGGACACAGUAACAAGGCACCAUCUUGGAAGCAGAGAGCAGCCAGAAACUAAACAUGCCAGCACCUUAAUGGUGGACUGUUGGGGUCUGGCACAUCUGCCGGGGGGCUACCGACCUGCGGGAGUCCCCGAGACCACCAACAUAGAUGUCUCCUUCAACCUGAGGGAGAGAGUGUGCGGAAGUGAAAGAAAAAAGAAAAACGGAGUCUGGAGGGCUGGCUUAGGCUAUGUCCAAGCAGCAAUUUUAUUUUUGCAAUAUGUUCCAUUAUAUACCUUUCUGAAGUUAAUGUUGUUUACGCCAGAUCAACAUACUUAAGUUACAGUAAGCAAGUUACGCCCACUAAGUUACGCUCAGUAAGUAAGUUACACCCAGUAAGUACUUAACAAUUGUAAGCAAGUUACCAGUUAUGCCCCGUAAGUUAUGGUAAGUAAGUUACAGUUACACCCAGUAAGUUAUGGUAAGUUACAGUUAUACCCAGUAAGUUACGUAAGUAAGUUACCAAGUGUAAAUACUUAAGUUAAUAUUUUACAAUGAAGGUAACAAGAGUCCAAAAUGAACACAAUCAAGCAAUAAACCAUAAGGAGCCGAAAGUGGACACAAUGCCUCCCAAGUCCUCAUAUCCAUAAAGUAAUGUCUGUUAAUUAUUUUGAAUAGCAUAGUCCCUCUCUCGGUUCCUGCUUUCCCUCAGCUCAACUCCCCCAACCUGGGAUCUGUGUCCAGGCUCAAGCUCACCGUAUGGCAAGGCCCAUUUCCUAGGGUCCUCACACAGGAGUGAUCCCCACAGAUCCCUCAGUGGACUUCCAGCCUCCAGAACUGUAACAAAUCAGUUUCUAUUGUUUAUAAAUGACCCAGUCUUGGGUAUUUUGUUAUAGUAGGAGAAACAGACUAAGACAAAGGGGAGAAGAGUAAAUUGACAGUGAAGAAGCCUGGCAGACACCACGUGAUCAAAGUUAGUAUUACCAGGAUUAUAAGGCAUAUUGACAUCAUGUGCCGUGAACUCUGACGCCCUGAGAAGGGCACAAUUUGCUGCUCUAGUAUUCUCGCUGAAAAUCAGCAACUUCGGACUAAACAUUACAAACAUCCGAUAAACACAAAAUAAUUGAGGAUGUUCCACAAAAUAAUUGGCCAGUACUCUUCAAAAGUGUCAAAUUCAUGAAAGAAGAAACCAGAGGCCGGGUGCAGGGGCUCACACGUCUAAUCCCAGCAUUUUGGGAGGGUGAGCUGGGCAGAUUGCUUGAACCCUGGAGUUUGAGACCAGCUGGGCAACACGGUGAAACCCCAUCUCUACAAAAAAUACAAAAAUUAGCCAAGUGUGGUAGCAUGUGCCUGUAGUCCCAGUUACUUGGGAGGCUGAGGUAGGAGGAUCAUCUGAGAUCAGGGAGGUUGAGGCUGCAGUGAGCUGUAAUCAGGCCACUGCACUCCAGGCAGGGUGACAAAAUGAGACCCUGUCUCAGAAAUAAAGAAAGAAACCUGAGAAAUUGUCGCAGAGUGGAAGAGAGCAAGGAGACACGGUGCCUGUGGCAGGCAGCCUCCAAGGUGGUCCCUGAAUGAACCUGGUACUCACGUAAUUACACAGGGUUGACCUGUGCACCAAUAGGAUGUGGGGGAAACGCUGCAGUGUGGUUUCUGGGGCUAGGUCAUAAAAAACUUCGCAGCUUCCUUAUGUGCUCUGAGAAACCUGUUACUUUCUCUUGGAAAAGCCAGCUUCUUGUCAUGAGGCAAGACCGAGGAGAAGGCAACACUCACUGUGGACAAGACUGUGUGGCCUGAAACUGAGGCUGCUGCCAUGGAAUGGGCACCAUCUUGACUUUUUUUCUUUUUGAAACAGAAUCUGUCUCUGUUGCCCUGGCUGGAGUGUGGUGGCACAAUCUCGGCUCACUGUAACCUCCAACUCCCAGGUGCAAGCGAUUAUCCUGCCUCAGCCUCCCCAGUAGCUGGGACUACAGGCGUGCACCACCAUGCCCAGUUAAUUUUUAUAUUUUUAGUAGAGACAGGUUUUUUUUUUUUUUUU
Non-coding RNA from Callithrix jacchus (white-tufted-ear marmoset), 3143 nucleotides. NCBI's taxonomy places the organism in Eukaryota, Metazoa, Chordata, Mammalia, Primates, Cebidae. The record is from RefSeq and is a predicted model, not a curated record.